RNAcentral lists this long non-coding RNA (486 nucleotides) under Cyanistes caeruleus (blue tit). RNAcentral's name for it is "lncRNA (ENSCCEG00000008483.1)". The record is from RNAcentral. Lineage: Eukaryota; Metazoa; Chordata; Aves; Passeriformes; Paridae.
GAAAAACUAGUGCACAAAUUUAUUUUAAUAAGCUGGAUAUGCAGCAUAAAUAUUUAUCAUUAUAUUUUUUAUUUAUUUAUUUUUAUCUGUUCUGAUGUCGUCUACUUUCCUACCUGGAAGAGGAGCUGAGUGAGCAAGGGCAGCCUGAAUGCCUCAAACUCCUGGGGAAUUUUCUCUCUUGGAAGCCAGUGGCAGCUUUACAUCUUUGUGUUAAUGUGUGACCAGGAAUAUGCCAAUUUGAUUCACUGCUCUGGAAAUACAGAGAGAUGGAAUGGAGUUCAAGCAAGGGAAGUUGAGAUAGAUCAUCUGCCUGCACCAAAGUAUAAGCAGUCACCAGCUGAUGUCAUACAUUGCUUGAUGGCAUUGAUAUUGCUGGGAAAAUCUCUGACUGAAAACAGUAAGGAUAAAAAAAAUGGCUGACUGUAUGUUUCUUUUCCUGAUUGAAUAGAAGGUGAUAAAUUUGUUUUUGUUCCAUUUAUAGGCAUG